AACCUUAUGGACCUGCGGGCGUAUACCUGCGGAAGGAUCAUUACCGAGUUAUACAACUCAUCAACCCCUGUGAACUUACCUACAACGUUGCUUCGGCGGGAACAGACGGCCCCGUAAAACGGGCCGCCCCCGCCAGAGGACCCCUAACUCUGUUUUUAUAAUGUUUUUCUGAGUAAACAAGCAAAUAAAUUAAAACUUUUAGCAACGGAUCU
This 212-nucleotide unclassified non-coding RNA is filed under the name soil metagenome. Its description in RNAcentral is "partial contains 5.8S ribosomal RNA, internal transcribed spacer 2, and large subunit ribosomal RNA". The record is from RNAcentral.